GAAGCCGGAAUUGCUGUAAUGGCAGGUCAGCAUACUGCCGUGAAUACGUUCCCGGGCCUUGUACACACCGCCCGUCACACCAUGAGGGUUGGGGAUACCCGAAGCCUGUGAGCCAACAAUACGAGGCAGCAGUCGAAGGUAGAAUCAAUGAUUGGGGUGAAGUCGUAACAAGGUAUC
This 177-nucleotide ribosomal RNA is filed under the name uncultured bacterium. Its description in RNAcentral is "partial 16S ribosomal RNA". It matches the Rfam family "Bacterial small subunit ribosomal RNA", at positions 1322 to 1500 of the family's 1533-position model. The record is from RNAcentral.